Long non-coding RNA from Cucurbita maxima (winter squash), 762 nucleotides. RefSeq lists it as uncharacterized. The transcript has 3 exons. Lineage: Eukaryota; Viridiplantae; Streptophyta; Magnoliopsida; Cucurbitales; Cucurbitaceae. The record is from RefSeq and is a predicted model, not a curated record.
UAUAAAACUGCUCGCUUGUGAGCCGCUUCUUCCAUUCAUCAUCGCUAAGAGAUUUGUAAUCCGCGGUGCCAGCCUCUGCACCAACAGGCAACUAGCUUCUUCAAUGUUCGAUAUCAUAGACAUGAACACAACAGCAAAUUGUUUAGAGCAAGAUUUGAUAAUGAAAAGAAAGGAAAAGGAAAAACCUCGGAUACCAUCUGGUCGCUGGGAAGAGGAGGAGGAGCCCAUAGCACGGAUAGAAAACGAUGAAAGCUUUUCGUUCUUGGGUGCUCUGAAAAUUAGAGGAGAAGCUAGCAGAGGCCCGUGGGGGGAGGGGUAUGCUUCUGAUUCUGCAAUCUUAGCCGUUUGAUGGAAUCUUAGAGCUGAUUGAUGGAAUAUGGAUGGUUAGAUUGGGAAGGAGGAAAGGGACGUUGUGAGCUGGGGAGCAUUUGAGUGGGUGGAUGAGAACAAGCCCUGUCUUAGCAGAAGUGGAUAUGUGUUGGCCACGUUUAUUCCCUUGGAGUUGCAUGAUUAUGAUGGAGCAGUGAAAGUGAUAAAGUGUACGAGUCAUGUACGUUAUAUUUGUAAGCAGAUUUGAAAAAGGUCGUAAAAUGAGCAUUUAUAUUUUCCAUUAACUAAUGACUAAGUUUCUUUGCAAUUCUUUGUAAUUUAGGUUGCAGGUAGAAUCAUUCAAGAUCGACAAGAUCAAUCUUACUUAUGGAAUGAUUCGAAUCUCAAACAAAUGUUCUUGCCUUGAGAUAUCCGAUCAACAAGGUAAUCCAA